CAGCCCUUGACAUCCUGUGAACGGUCCAGAGAUGAGGGGGUGCCUUCGGGAGCCGAGUGACAGGUGCUGCAUGGCUGUCGUCAGCUCGUGCCGUGAGAUGUUGGGUUAAGUCCCGUAACGAGCGCAACCCUUGUCCCUAGUUGCCAGCGGUUCGGCCGGGAACUCUAGGGAGACUGCCGGUGAUAAACCGGAGGAAGGUGGGGAUGACGUCAAGUCAUCAUGGCCCUUAUGGGCUGGGCUUCACACGUGCUACAAUGGCAGGUACAAAGGGCGGCGACUUAGCGAUAAGGAGCGAAUCCCGAAAAGCCUGUCUCAGUCCGGAUCGGAGUCUGCAACUCGACUCCGUGAAGUUGGAAUCGCUAGUAAUCGUGGAUCAGCAUGCCACGGUGAA
RNAcentral lists this ribosomal RNA (391 nucleotides) under uncultured bacterium. Its description in RNAcentral is "bacterial SSU rRNA". It matches the Rfam family "Bacterial small subunit ribosomal RNA", at positions 975 to 1366 of the family's 1533-position model. The record is from RNAcentral.